GUGAAUCAUCGAAUCUUUGAACGCAAAUUGCACUCUCUGGUAUUCCGGAGAGUAUGCCUGUUUGAGGGUCAGUUUAAAUAAAAAUCGGUGUGGUUGCUGCCUUUCGUGGUGACGCACCGGAUUUGGGUCGUCUUGCCUUCGGUUAGGUGACCUAAAAUGUUGCAUGAUGUUUUUCGAACGUAUUUAAAUGAUUAUACGUACGUUUGCGAUAUGGAUUACUCGGCUUGGCCAUCCG
RNAcentral lists this unclassified non-coding RNA (235 nucleotides) under Glomus sp. RNAcentral's name for it is "partial contains 5.8S ribosomal RNA and internal transcribed spacer 2". The stretch from base 1 to 71 matches the Rfam family "5.8S ribosomal RNA", at positions 84 to 154 of the family's 154-position model. Lineage: Eukaryota; Fungi; Glomeromycota; Glomeromycetes; Glomerales; Glomeraceae. The record is from RNAcentral.